Molecule: unclassified non-coding RNA, 260 nt
Filed under: plant metagenome
Description: partial contains small subunit ribosomal RNA, internal transcribed spacer 1, and 5.8S ribosomal RNA
Source: RNAcentral
UUUCCGUAGGUGAACCUGCGGAAGGAUCAUUAUUGUAUAACCGAGGUGCGAGGGCUGUCGCUGACCCAAAAGUCGUGCACGCCCGAGUGUGUCCUCUUGCAUAAUAAUCCAUCUCACCCUUUGUGCAGCACCGCGUGGGCACCCUUCGGGAUCAUCUCGGAGGGGGGCUCGCGUUUUCACACAAAACCCCCUUUUAAAAGUGUAGAAUGACCACAUUUAUGCAAUCAAUACAACUUUCAACAACGGAUCUCUUGGCUCUC